GGGGUAACGAGAAGAUUAAAAGAGGGAAGCAGAGGAGUUGGGAGCUGGCGGUCGUUCCCGGGGAAGAACUGCUAAAAGAUGAGACCAAGGCACAGACCUUACUGUAUGAGAAGCAAUGCUCCUCAAACCUUCUGCGUCCUGACAUAGACCUUCCCAGAAGCAAAACUGUCGGCCGCGACCUGAGCGCUGGAAGCCGAAGGGGAAGAGGAAGGAGACGCGAGCCAAGGCGGCCGGCACAAAGGCGGCGGACUCGCGGCGGCAGCGCCUGCCCGGCCGGGAGCACAGCCCGCGGCCCUACUCCAGCGAAGUCCCGCACCGGCUUCUAGGAAUAAAGUUUACGUUCUCCGGAGGCCGCACCCCCCACCUCCCACCCAGGACGGCACAUCUCCGCGGCCUCCUCCCCCAAACUCCACUCGGGACCCCGAGAACCACCCCAGCCUUCCGGCCACCACAACAAAGAGCCGCACCGACCGGCGAGGGUAAACAGCGGCGGAGGGCGAGAGGGCGGCGGGGCGAGCGCCUCCACGCAGCAACUCCGGAGUCCCCCGCUUGCCCGAGCGCAGUUUCUCCGCUGCUGUUUCCACCAGCUUUGUAACACUGGGAAUUUACAUCCUCACCCGCACCCCUCACGCCCGAGGAUUUUAAACUCACCUUUACUUUCGAACUGAGAGUUGCGGUAGAUGGGAUUUUUGCCUUUUCCCCAGAUGGUUGAAGGUUAAGAUUUUUGGAAACCCCACCACCUCCUUAUUUCUAUUAUUAUUUCUGCAAGAAAAGUAUAAAGAGAGUUGUAGUGGAGGUGAGAUUUGUGAUCGGGAAAGCCCUCGACUCCCUCCUUCUCCGUCUUCCGCCUCUCUCUCUCUGAUUAGUUCCUAUCCAGCAGCAGAUUGAAGCAGGAGAUGAUUCUUCUCAAGGUUUGUUCAGCAGCUUCACUUCUAGGCGAAGGCUUCAUGAACCAAGUGACGUCAACCAACAAGGCUUCUCUCUCUCUCCUCUCUCUAACAAUGAAAGUUGCUGUUAACAAGGGAAAAAAAGAGAGAGAAUUGUUUAUACCAUUUCAGUUCCAAUAAUAAAUGACCUAUCAGCUCCUAAAGGAGCCAAGGGAGGGGGUUGCUGCUUCUUUCCAAGAAUCCUGUAGCUUUGAGUUUGCACCGUUCCUUGUCCCAGGAAAAAGUUAAGAAACUUAAAAUGUUUUGUUUUGCUUUUAAAGAAGACAGGAUAGAAAAUGGGAUUUAAAACUUAGUUUUUUAAAAACAAAAGCUACAGAGUAGGGAGCAUAGGUCAACUACCAUCUCCACCUAAACUUUUUUUUGUUCUUAAACUCUGAAUUCUACAAACCAAAUAAAUUAAUAUGCCGAGAUUUCGCGGAUGUUAAAACUCAAAAAGCAGGAUGCAAGAUGGUCCCGGGGUAAAAUUCUACUGCCUUUCCACGAACAAAGUUAAACUGGCUGUAAUGUUUACGCACCAAGUUAAAAUAAAAUUUAAAUAAAAGACGUUAAAAUAGUCAAUUGUUUUAAAGUUACAUGCACACACUGUAAAAGGUAAUCUCGAUAGGUUUUUUUCCAGUUUCUGAGAGGUUAGAAAAAAGCAUAGCAAAUUGUAGGCACUAAACACUUUUUAAAAAUCAAGUUAUGAGUAAGACUGGUAGCCCUUUGCUCCUUUAAACUACACACGCAGUCAUAUGCUAUGUGUCUACCCCCAGAAUCUCUUCCAACUCUGUUUUUACCCUUCCACUCCUCCAACCCCAAUUCCCAAAUCCUGCAACCAAUCAAGUUAAAUUAAAGAUACAAUAAUCUUUAGUUAUUGGGAGUAAUGGGUGCCCCAUUCCCUCCCGCAUCCCAUCCUAUAGAUUCCUAAAAAAAACAAUUUUUUUGAAAGCCUUAAUCUUGAUAACAUUUUAUUAGCCAAGAAGAUACGUAUUUUUUUUAGAAGUUCGCUGAGGUACCGUUUUUUCCCUCCAGAACACAAGAAACUCUCAAAGUUCAUAUAACUAAAAAUUGCCUAAUUUAAUUUUCAGGAUGAAGAGUAAGUAAAUAUUAAGCUAUCGGAGAAUAAUUUGAUCAUCUAUGUAUAUUUUAUACAUUUGUGGAUAAAUGCAUCUUAAAAGAUGCUAUUGUUUUAUGUUUCCUCUUCAGCCACUGGCUGUGAUUUUAAUUGUGCUGGAGGAUCUUCAUUAGUAUUAACACAUGGGGAGAUUUCACAAAGCUGCUUCAUUAGGAAAAAAAAAAAGCUUGGCAGACUAGGUCUUUUUGCAUGCACUGAGAAUGUCAGCCUUACCUCGGUCAUUUGUAACAUAAUAAGUGCAAGUACAAUGAUUGCAAUGCAGGAGCUCUGGGGGAAGGGCAGAAAUACUGCCUGUCUAAUAGGGAUAUCUGAAAAGAAGGCUGCUCAUUACAUAGUAAAAUGUAUGCUAAAAAUUAGUGAAGAUGAUGUCUCAGGAGACUGAUGCUAAAUAAAUUAAUGUGCUGAUAUGUUUUUAAUUAUUAUUUUUGUAGUAGUUUAUUUCAUUCUCAGGAUUCACAUUGAGCAGCAAAGCUGUGCUAGCACUUAUUGAUUUUUUUUCCCUGCCACAUUCCCGGAAUACAGAUUUUAAUCAUUUCACUACACCACACUCAGUAAUUUCAUUAAAAAGUGGAAUCUUCCAUCCCCAGAAAAGCAUUUAAUUUCAAUGACAUACAAUUUCUCUUUUAGCAGCAAACUGUCUCUACAGUAAAAACUGGCCUAAGGUUCAAAUGCAUAAUUUAAUCCUGAGUUUUCUUUCCAUGCUCUGCAUUCCUUUCAAGCUAUAAUUUGAGUAACUACCUAAUAACUGUAAUAAGGACAAUAAUUUCCUUAAAAUAUAUUAUUAACUCAUAUUUAAUUAACUCAGAGGCCAAGCUCUGUACAUGUGUGACUGGGUCAACAGUUCUAUAAUCUCAAAAUUUACUAAUAAUGUUCCAGAAGAAAAAUAUAGAUUAAAAUAUAAGUAUGAAUGCACUUAGUAUCUAACACUUCUAUCCCAAGUCACAUACAGAAAAGUUAAUGCAUUGUUCUAUAAUGGUGGUCAUUAAAUAAAUAAUAUUUUUAAGUAUGUGGAACUAAAAAAUGGAAUUCAGUGAUAUUUCUAUGUGUAAAGUAUUGAAUAUUAAUAUUUUAACGAUCUAUUACUGACACUUUACCUAAUCAUUAGCAUUACUGUUGAAAAUAUUUAAUUUUGAAAAGAUAAGGAAAAAGUGCUAGAUUCAAGUUAUCUUGAUUUUCAUAAAGAAUUCUCCCAAAAUGUACUUCGCUUGAAAUAAAGUUAAGUGGCACACUGUAACUUGAAUAAUUAAGAAUACAUCCUUUACUUAAAUACUUCCAACAAUAUACUGCAAAGCAUGGUUCAAUUUUUGGUGCCAAUAAUAUUUUGAAAUAUUGGCACUGCAGAUGCCACACUGGUUUCCCAAACAGUGGUUUCAUAAGGAUAUGUAAUUUAUAUUGCCUGGAUUUUAGAAAAGAAACCUGUGAAAAAAAAAUUUUAAGUAAUAAAAUUCAUUAAU
Piliocolobus tephrosceles (Ugandan red Colobus) is the source of this 3515-nucleotide long non-coding RNA. RefSeq lists it as uncharacterized. The record is from RefSeq and is a predicted model, not a curated record. NCBI's taxonomy places the organism in Eukaryota, Metazoa, Chordata, Mammalia, Primates, Cercopithecidae. The transcript is spliced from 2 exons.